This 2922-nucleotide ribosomal RNA is filed under the name Klebsiella pneumoniae. RNAcentral's name for it is "bacterial LSU rRNA". It matches the Rfam family "Bacterial large subunit ribosomal RNA". The record is from RNAcentral. Lineage: Bacteria; Pseudomonadati; Pseudomonadota; Gammaproteobacteria; Enterobacterales; Enterobacteriaceae.
GGGUUGUGAGGUUAAGCGACUAAGCGUACACGGUGGAUGCCCUGGCAGUCAGAGGCGAUGAAGGACGUGCUAAUCUGCGAAAAGCGUCGGUAAGGUGAUAUGAACCGUUACAGCCGGCGAUGUCCGAAUGGGGAAACCCAGUGUGAUUCGUCACACUAUCGUUAACUGAAUACAUAGGUUAACGAGGCGAACCGGGGGAACUGAAACAUCUAAGUACCCCGAGGAAAAGAAAUCAACCGAGAUUCCCCCAGUAGCGGCGAGCGAACGGGGAGCAGCCCAGAGUCUGAAUCAGCUUGUGUGUUAGUGGAACGGUCUGGAAAGUCCGACGGUACAGGGUGAUAGUCCCGUACACCAAAAUGCACAGGCUGUGAACUCGAAGAGUAGGGCGGGACACGUGGUAUCCUGUCUGAAUAUGGGGGGACCAUCCUCCAAGGCUAAAUACUCCUGACUGACCGAUAGUGAACCAGUACCGUGAGGGAAAGGCGAAAAGAACCCCGGCGAGGGGAGUGAAAAAGAACCUGAAACCGUGUACGUACAAGCAGUGGGAGCACCUUCGGGUGUGACUGCGUACCUUUUGUAUAAUGGGUCAGCGACUUAUAUUCUGUAGCAAGGUUAACCGUAUAGGGGAGCCGCAGGGAAACCGAGUCUUAACUGGGCGUUAAGUUGCAGGGUAUAGACCCGAAACCCGGUGAUCUAGCCAUGGGCAGGUUGAAGGUUGGGUAACACUAACUGGAGGACCGAACCGACUAAUGUUGAAAAAUUAGCGGAUGACUUGUGGCUGGGGGUGAAAGGCCAAUCAAACCGGGAGAUAGCUGGUUCUCCCCGAAAGCUAUUUAGGUAGCGCCUCGUGAACUCAUCUUCGGGGUAGAGCACUGUUUCGGCUAGGGGGUCAUCCCGACUUACCAACCCGAUGCAAACUACGAAUACCGAAGAAUGUUAUCACGGGAGACACACGGCGGGUGCUAACGUCCGUCGUGAAGAGGGAAACAACCCAGACCGCCAGCUAAGGUCCCAAAGUCAUGGUUAAGUGGGAAACGAUGUGGGAAGGCACAGACAGCCAGGAUGUUGGCUUAGAAGCAGCCAUCAUUUAAAGAAAGCGUAAUAGCUCACUGGUCGAGUCGGCCUGCGCGGAAGAUGUAACGGGGCUAAACCAUGCACCGAAGCUGCGGCAGCGACACUAUGUGUUGUUGGGUAGGGGAGCGUUCUGUAAGCCUGCGAAGGUGUGCUGUGAGGCAUGCUGGAGGUAUCAGAAGUGCGAAUGCUGACAUAAGUAACGAUAAAGCGGGUGAAAAGCCCGCUCGCCGGAAGACCAAGGGUUCCUGUCCAACGUUAAUCGGGGCAGGGUGAGUCGACCCCUAAGGCGAGGCCGAAAGGCGUAGUCGAUGGGAAACAGGUUAAUAUUCCUGUACUUGGUGUUACUGCGAAGGGGGGACGGAGAAGGCUAUGUUAGCCGGGCGACGGUUGUCCCGGUUUAAGCAUGUAGGCUGGUUGUCCAGGCAAAUCCGGAUAAUCAAGGCUGAGGUGUGAUGACGAGGCACUACGGUGCUGAAGUAACAAAUGCCCUGCUUCCAGGAAAAGCCUCUAAGCAUCAGGUAACAUCAAAUCGUACCCCAAACCGACACAGGUGGUCAGGUAGAGAAUACCAAGGCGCUUGAGAGAACUCGGGUGAAGGAACUAGGCAAAAUGGUGCCGUAACUUCGGGAGAAGGCACGCUGGUGUGUAGGUGAAGUCCCUGCGGAUGGAGCUGAGACCAGUCGAAGAUACCAGCUGGCUGCAACUGUUUAUUAAAAACACAGCACUGUGCAAACACGAAAGUGGACGUAUACGGUGUGACGCCUGCCCGGUGCCGGAAGGUUAAUUGAUGGGGUUAUCCGUAAGGAGAAGCUCUUGAUCGAAGCCCCGGUAAACGGCGGCCGUAACUAUAACGGUCCUAAGGUAGCGAAAUUCCUUGUCGGGUAAGUUCCGACCUGCACGAAUGGCGUAAUGAUGGCCAGGCUGUCUCCACCCGAGACUCAGUGAAAUUGAACUCGCUGUGAAGAUGCAGUGUACCCGCGGCAAGACGGAAAGACCCCGUGAACCUUUACUAUAGCUUGACACUGAACAUUGAGCCUUGAUGUGUAGGAUAGGUGGGAGGCUUUGAAGCGUGGACGCCAGUCUGCGUGGAGCCAACCUUGAAAUACCACCCUUUAAUGUUUGAUGUUCUAACGUUGGCCCCUUACCGGGGUUGCGGACAGUGUCUGGUGGGUAGUUUGACUGGGGCGGUCUCCUCCCAAAGCGUAACGGAGGAGCACGAAGGUUAGCUAAUCCUGGUCGGACAUCAGGAGGUUAGUGCAAUGGCAUAAGCUAGCUUGACUGCGAGCGUGACGGCGCGAGCAGGUGCGAAAGCAGGUCAUAGUGAUCCGGUGGUUCUGAAUGGAAGGGCCAUCGCUCAACGGAUAAAAGGUACUCCGGGGAUAACAGGCUGAUACCGCCCAAGAGUUCAUAUCGACGGCGGUGUUUGGCACCUCGAUGUCGGCUCAUCACAUCCUGGGGCUGAAGUAGGUCCCAAGGGUAUGGCUGUUCGCCAUUUAAAGUGGUACGCGAGCUGGGUUUAGAACGUCGUGAGACAGUUCGGUCCCUAUCUGCCGUGGGCGCUGGAGAAUUGAGGGGGGCUGCUCCUAGUACGAGAGGACCGGAGUGGACGCAUCACUGGUGUUCGGGUUGUCAUGCCAAUGGCACUGCCCGGUAGCUAAAUGCGGAAGAGAUAAGUGCUGAAAGCAUCUAAGCACGAAACUUGCCCCGAGAUGAGUUCUCCCUGAGACUAUAAGUCUCCUGAAGGAACGUUAAAGACGAUGACGUUGAUAGGCCGGGUGUGUAAGCGCAGCGAUGCGUUGAGCUAACCGGUACUAAUGAACCGUGAGGCUUAACCUUACAACGCCGAAG